Molecule: ribosomal RNA, 126 nt
Filed under: Proteus mirabilis
Lineage: Bacteria; Pseudomonadati; Pseudomonadota; Gammaproteobacteria; Enterobacterales; Morganellaceae
Description: partial 23S ribosomal RNA
Rfam family: Bacterial large subunit ribosomal RNA
Source: RNAcentral
UGUUAAGCGAAUAAGCGUACACGGUGGAUGCCUAGGCAAUCAGAGGCGAUUAAGGACGUGCUAAUCUGCGAAAAGCUUCGGUAAGGUGAUAUGAACCGUUAUACCCGACGAUAUCCGAAUGGGGAA